Molecule: long non-coding RNA, 212 nt
Organism: Quercus robur (English oak)
Lineage: Eukaryota; Viridiplantae; Streptophyta; Magnoliopsida; Fagales; Fagaceae
Exons: 2
Source: RefSeq, a predicted model, not a curated record
CCCAAUCCUAAUUCUACUUUGUGUGCAAGCCAAGUCUCCUACUUGUACUAGAAGUCUAUUAGUCUAGGGUUUAGUCUACUAUAUAUACACAUGUUAUGAUUCAUUGUAACACAGGAUUUGUACUACACUCUAAUAUAUUAUUAAUGUAGCCCUUUAGGGUUUCCUCCGUGGAUGUAGGCCGUUAGGCUGAACCACGUAACCCUCGUGUGUUA